GUAUCCUGUCUGAAUAUGGGGGGACCAUCCUCCAAGGCUAAAUACUCCUGACUGACCGAUAGUGAACCAGUACCGUGAGGGAAAGGCGAAAAGAACCCCGGCGAGGGGAGUGAAAAAGAACCUGAAACCGUGUACGUACAAGCAGUGGGAGCCUCUUUAUGGGGUGACUGCGUACCUUUUGUAUAAUGGGUCAGCGACUUAUAUUCUGUAGCAAGGUUAACCGAAUAGGGGAGCCGAAGGGAAACCGAGUCUUAACUGGGCGUUAAGUUGCAGGGUAUAGACCCGAAACCCGGUGAUCUAGCCAUGGGCAGGUUGAAGGUUGGGUAACACUAACUGGAGGACCGAACCGACUAAUGUUGAAAAAUUAGCGGAUGACUUGUGGCUGGGGGUGAAAGGCCAAUCAAACCGGGAGAUAGCUGGUUCUCCCCGAAAGCUAUUUAGGUAGCGCCUCGUGAAUUCAUCUCCGGGGGUAGAGCACUGUUUCGGCAAGGGGGUCAUCCCGACUUACCAACCCGAUGCAAACUGCGAAUACCGGAGAAUGUUAUCACGGGAGACACACGGCGGGUGCUAACGUCCGUCGUGAAGAGGGAAACAACCCAGACCGCCAGCUAAGGUCCCAAAGUCAUGGUUAAGUGGGAAACGAUGUGGGAAGGCCCAGACAGCCAGGAUGUUGGCUUAGAAGCAGCCAUCAUUUAAAGAAAGCGUAAUAGCUCACUGGUCGAGUCGGCCUGCGCGGAAGAUGUAACGGGGCUAAACCAUGCACCGAAGCUGCGGCAGCGACGCUUAUGCGUUGUUGGGUAGGGGAGCGUUCUGUAAGCCUGUGAAGGUGUGCUGUGAGGCAUGCUGGAGGUAUCAGAAGUGCGAAUGCUGACAUAAGUAACGAUAAAGCGGGUGAAAAGCCCGCUCGCCGGAAGACCAAGGGUUCCUGUCCAACGUUAAUCGGGGCAGGGUGAGUCGACCCCUAAGGCGAGGCCGAAAGGCGUAGUCGAUGGGAAACAGGUUAAUAUUCCUGUACUUGGUGUUACUGCGAAGGGGGGACGGAGAAGGCUAUGUUGGCCGGGCGACGGUUGUCCCGGUUUAAGCGUGUAGGCUGGUUUUCCAGGCAAAUCCGGAAAAUCAAGGCUGAGGCGUGAUGACGAGGCACUACGGUGCUGAAGCAACAAAUGCCCUGCUUCCAGGAAAAGCCUCUAAGCAUCAGGUAACAUCAAAUCGUACCCCAAACCGACACAGGUGGUCAGGUAGAGAAUACCAAGGCGCUUGAGAGAACUCGGGUGAAGGAACUAGGCAAAAUGGUGCCGUAACUUCGGGAGAAGGCACGCUGAUAUGUAGGUGAAGUCCCUCGCGGAUGGAGCUGAAAUCAGUCGAAGAUACCAGCUGGCUGCAACUGUUUAUUAAAAACACAGCACUGUGCAAACACGAAAGUGGACGUAUACGGUGUGACGCCUGCCCGGUGCCGGAAGGUUAAUUGAUGGGGUUAGCGGUAACGCGAAGCUCUUGAUCGAAGCCCCGGUAAACGGCGGCCGUAACUAUAACGGUCCUAAGGUAGCGAAAUUCCUUGUCGGGUAAGUUCCGACCUGCACGAAUGGCGUAAUGAUGGCCAGGCUGUCUCCACCCGAGACUCAGUGAAAUUGAACUCGCUGUGAAGAUGCAGUGUACCCGCGGCAAGACGGAAAGACCCCGUGAACCUUUACUAUAGCUUGACACUGAACAUUGAGCCUUGAUGUGUAGGAUAGGUGGGAGGCUUUGAAGUGUGGACGCCAGUCUGCAUGGAGCCGACCUUGAAAUACCACCCUUUAAUGUUUGAUGUUCUAACGUUGACCCGUAAUCCGGGUUGCGGACAGUGUCUGGUGGGUAGUUUGACUGGGGCGGUCUCCUCCUAAAGAGUAACGGAGGAGCACGAAGGUUGGCUAAUCCUGGUCGGACAUCAGGAGGUUAGUGCAAUGGCAUAAGCCAGCUUGACUGCGAGCGUGACGGCGCGAGCAGGUGCGAAAGCAGGUCAUAGUGAUCCGGUGGUUCUGAAUGGAAGGGCCAUCGCUCAACGGAUAAAAGGUACUCCGGGGAUAACAGGCUGAUACCGCCCAAGAGUUCAUAUCGACGGCGGUGUUUGGCACCUCGAUGUCGGCUCAUCACAUCCUGGGGCUGAAGUAGGUCCCAAGGGUAUGGCUGUUCGCCAUUUAAAGUGGUACGCGAGCUGGGUUUAGAACGUCGUGAGACAGUUCGGUCCCUAUCUGCCGUGGGCGCUGGAGAACUGAGGGGGGCUGCUCCUAGUACGAGAGGACCGGAGUGGACGCAUCACUGGUGUUCGGGUUGUCAUGCCAAUGGCACUGCCCGGUAGCUAAAUGCGGAAGAGAUAAGUGCUGAAAGCAUCUAAGCACGAAACUUGCCCCGAGAUGAGUUCUCCCUGACUCCUUGAGAGUCCUGAAGGAACGUUGAAGACGACGACGUUGAUAGGCCGGGUGUGUAAGCGCAGCGAUGCGUUGAGCUAACCGGUACUAAUGAACCGUGAGGCUUAACCUUACAAC
This 2522-nucleotide ribosomal RNA is filed under the name Escherichia coli. Its description in RNAcentral is "partial 23S ribosomal RNA". It matches the Rfam family "Bacterial large subunit ribosomal RNA", at positions 429 to 2925 of the family's 2925-position model. The record is from RNAcentral. Lineage: Bacteria; Pseudomonadati; Pseudomonadota; Gammaproteobacteria; Enterobacterales; Enterobacteriaceae.